GUGGGGAAUAUUGGGCAAUGGGCGAAAGCCUGACCCAGCAACGCCGCGUGAAGGAAGAAGGUUUUCGGAUCGUAAACUUCUAUCCUUGGUGAAGAUAAUGACGGUAGCCAAGAAGGAAGCCCCGGCUAACUACGUGCCAGCAGCCGCGGUAAUACGUAGGGGGCAAGCGUUGUCCGGAAUGAUUGGGCGUAAAGGGCGCGUAGGCGGCCUGGUAAGUCUGGAGUGAAAGUCCUGCUUUUAAGGUGGGAAUUGCUUUGGAUACUGUCGGGCUUGAGUGCAGGAGAGGUAAGUGGAAUUCCCGGUGUAGCGGUGAAAUGCGUAGAGAUCGGGAGGAACACCAGUGGCGAAGGCGACUUACUGGACUGUAACUGACGCUGAGGCGCGAAAGUGUGGGGAGCAAACAGGAUUAGAAACCCUUGUAGUCC
Molecule: ribosomal RNA, 425 nt
Filed under: uncultured bacterium
Lineage: Bacteria
Description: partial 16S ribosomal RNA
Rfam family: Bacterial small subunit ribosomal RNA
Source: RNAcentral